UGAUGACGAGACGCUAAGGCGUUGAAGCAGUGUAUGUCAGACUUCCAAGAAAAGCUCGCAAUGUCACAAAUAAAAAGUGCCUGUACCAUAACCGACACAGGUGGGUAGGUAGAGUAUACUAAGGGGCGCGAGAUAACUCUCUCUAAGGAACUCGGCAAAAUGACUCCGUAACUUCGGGAGAAGGAGUGCCUUAUUUAUAAGGUUGCAAUAACAAGAUCCAAGCAACUGUUUAUCAAAAACACAGGUCUCCGCUAAGUCGUAAGACGAUGUAUGGGGGCUGACGCCUGCCCAGUGCCAGAAGGUUAAAGAAGUUGGUUAGUGUAUGCGAAGCUGAUGACUGAAGCCCUGGUGAACGGCGGCCGUAACUAUAACGGUCCUAAGGUAGCGAAAUUCCUUGUCGGGUAAGUUCCGACCCGCACGAAAGGCGUAAUGAUUUGGAUACUGUCUCGGAGAGAGGCUCGGUGAAAUAGACUUGUCUGUGAAGAUGCGGACUACCUGCACCAGGACAGAAAGACCCUAUGAAGCUUUACUGUAACUUGAAAUUGGAAUUGGACUUUGCUUGCGCAGUAUAGGUGGGAAGCGUUGAAAAUAUUCUUGCGGGAGUAUUGGAGCUAUCAGUGAGAUACCACUCUUGUAAUGUUAGAUUUCUAACUUUGAACCAUAAUCUGGUCAAAGAACAGUUUCAGGUGGGCAGUUUGACUGGGGCGGUCGCCUCCCAAAUGGUAACGGAGGCGUACAAAGGUUUCCUCUGAACGGAUAGAAAUCGUAUCUAGAGUGUAAAGGCAUAAGGAAGCUUGACUGUGAGACCUACAAGUCGAGCAGGGACGAAAGUCGGUCUUAGUGAUCUGACGGUACUGAGUGGAAAGGCCGUCACUCAACGGAUAAAAGUUACUCUAAGGAUAGCAGGCUGAUCUCCCCCAAGAGUUCACAUCGACGGGGAGGUUUGGCACCUCGAUGUCGGCUCAUCGCAUCCUGGGGCGGUAGUACGUCCCAAGGGUUGGGCUGUUCGCCCAUGAAAGCGGUACGCGAGCUGGGUUCAGAACGUCGUGAGACAGUUCGGUCCAUAUCCGGUGUAGGCGCUAGAAUAUUGAGAGGAGCCUUCUUUAGUACGAGAGGACCGAGAAGGACACACCGCUGGUGUACCAGUUAUCGUGCCAACGGUAAACGCUGGGUAGCUAUGUGUGGAGUGGAUAACCGCUGAAAGCAUCUAAGUGGGAAGCCCACCUCGAGAUGAGUAUUCCC
This 1242-nucleotide ribosomal RNA is filed under the name metagenome. RNAcentral describes it as "bacterial LSU rRNA". It matches the Rfam family "Bacterial large subunit ribosomal RNA", at positions 1564 to 2815 of the family's 2925-position model. The record is from RNAcentral.